GCCUUCGUGGUGUAGUGGUCAACACACUCGGCGCGUAUUCGAGAGGUCCUUGGUUCGAGUCCCAGCGAGGGCA
RNAcentral lists this transfer RNA (73 nucleotides) under Stegodyphus mimosarum. It matches the Rfam family "tRNA". From Rfam's summary of the family: Transfer RNA (tRNA) molecules are approximately 80 nucleotides in length. Their secondary structure includes four short double-helical elements and three loops (D, anti-codon, and T loops). The record is from Rfam by way of RNAcentral. Lineage: Eukaryota; Metazoa; Arthropoda; Arachnida; Araneae; Eresidae.